Molecule: ribosomal RNA, 1014 nt
Filed under: Beltrania aquatica
Lineage: Eukaryota; Fungi; Ascomycota; Sordariomycetes; Amphisphaeriales; Beltraniaceae
Description: SSU rRNA
Rfam family: Eukaryotic small subunit ribosomal RNA
Source: RNAcentral
CGAAACUGCGAAUGGCUCAUUAAAUCAGUUAUCGUUUAUUUGAUAGUACCUUACUACUUGGAUAACCGUGGUAAUUCUAGAGCUAAUACAUGCUAAAAACCCCGACUCACGAAGGGGUGUAUUUAUUAGAUUAAAAACCAAUGCCCUUCUGGGCUCUUUGGUGAUUCAUAAUAACUUCUCGAAUCGCAUGGCCUUGCGCCGGCGAUGGUUCAUUCAAAUUUCUGCCCUAUCAACUUUCGAUGGCAGGGUCUUGGCCUGCCAUGGUUACAACGGGUAACGGAGGGUUAGGGCUCGACCCCGGAGAAGGAGCCUGAGAAACGGCUACUACAUCCAAGGAAGGCAGCAGGCGCGCAAAUUACCCAAUCCCGACUCGGGGAGGUAGUGACAAUAAAUACUGAUACAGGGCUCUUUUGGGUCUUGUAAUUGGAAUGAGUACAAUUUAAAUCUCUUAACGAGGAACAAUUGGAGGGCAAGUCUGGUGCCAGCAGCCGCGGUAAUUCCAGCUCCAAUAGCGUAUAUUAAAGUUGUUGCAGUUAAAAAGCUCGUAGUUGAACCUUGGGCCUGGCUGGCCGGUCCGCCUCACCGCGUGCACUGGUUCGGCCGGGCCUUUCCCUCUGGGGAACUGCAUGCUCUUCACUGAGCGUGUUAGGGAACCAGGACUUUUACUGUGAAAAAAUUAGAGUGUUCAAAGCAGGCCUAUGCUCGAAUACAUUAGCAUGGAAUAAUGAAAUAGGACGUGUGGUUCUAUUUUGUUGGUUUCUAGGACCGCCGUAAUGAUUAAUAGGGACAGUCGGGGGCAUCAGUAUUCAAUUGUCAGAGGUGAAAUUCUUGGAUUUAUUGAAGACUAACUACUGCGAAAGCAUUUGCCAAGGAUGUUUUCAUUAAUCAGGAACGAAAGUUAGGGGAUCGAAGACGAUCAGAUACCGUCGUAGUCUUAACCAUAAACUAUGCCGACUAAGGAUCGGACGAAGUUACAUUUUGACUCGUUCGGCACUUUACGAGAAAUCAAAGUCU